GAUGGGAUCAUAGCCCAAAACAAAACGUAUCGCAUCUACACUUACUGUCGGCGGUGGAUCGCUAGGCUCUCGUGUCGUCGAAGAACGCAGCAAGGUGCGAAAAGUGGUGCCGGACGCAGCGUGUGGCAUCCAGUGUUUGAACGCAAAAUGCAACACCCAGCCGCGCAGCAGCGUGUCUGACAGGUCAGAUCAAACAGCAUGUGCAGAGCAUGACAGGCUGGGGGGUGACCCGUUGAACUUAAGCAUAUCAGUAGGCGGAGGAAAGGAAACCAACAGGGACUCCCGCAGUAACUGCGAGUGAAGGGGGACAAGCCGCACUGGGAAUCCGCAAGGAAUUGUAUCGGGGGCAGCGCAACUGGUCUGGAACGGCCGACGACAGCGAGUGACAGUCUCGAGCGUGCUCCGUGGCGACAGUCGGGCUGCAUGGGCGCGCAGUCUCAAGGGGUGGUGCAUGACAUCCAAGGCUAAGUACGGACGAGAGGCCGAUAGAGAACAAGUACCGUGAGGGAAAGCUGAAAAGGACUUUGGAAAGAGAGUCAAAAGACGUGAAACCGCGGGCGCAUCCAAUUGCUGGACCCGUCUUGAAACACGGACCAAGGAGUUGUCGUCGCGUGCAAGUGUGCGCAGGGACCUGUGUGGGCAGACCUCGAGGGGUGUGAGCACGCGGCGGCAGACCCGAAAGACGGUGAGCUAUGUCUGGAGAGGGCGAAGCCGGUGGAAACGCUGGUGGAGGCCCGAAGCGGUGCUGACGUGCAAAUCGCUCGCGCCAUCUGGAUAUAGGGGCGAAAGACCAAUCGAACCGUCUGGUAGCUGGUUCCGUC
This 821-nucleotide unclassified non-coding RNA is filed under the name uncultured fungus. RNAcentral describes it as "sequence contains 18S rRNA gene, ITS1, 5.8S rRNA gene, ITS2, 28S rRNA gene". The stretch from base 206 to 821 matches the Rfam family "Eukaryotic large subunit ribosomal RNA", at positions 1 to 961 of the family's 3401-position model. Lineage: Eukaryota; Fungi. The record is from RNAcentral.